AUUGAACGCUGGCGGCAGGCUUAACACAUGCAAGUCGAGCGGAGUGAUGGUGCUUGCACUAUCACUUAGCGGCGGACGGGUGAGUAAUGCUUAGGAAUCUGCCUAUUAGUGGGGGACAACAUCUCGAAAGGGAUGCUAAUACCGCAUACGUCCUACGGGAGAAAGCAGGGGAUCACUUGUGACCUUGCGCUAAUAGAUGAGCCUAAGUCGGAUUAGCUAGUUGGUGGGGCAAAGGCCUACCAAGGCGACGAUCUGUAGAGGGUCUGAGAGGAUGAUCCGCCACACUGGGACUGAGACACGGCCCAGACUCCUACGGGAGGCAGCAGUGGGGAAUAUUGGACAAUGGGGGGAACCCUGAUCCAGCCAUGCCGCGUGUGUGAAGAAGGCCUUAUGGUUGUAAAGCACUUUAAGCGAGGAGGAGGCUCUUUUGGUUAAUACCCAAGAUGAGUGGACGUUACUCGCAGAAUAAGCACCGGCUAACUCUGUGCCAGCAGCCGCCGCCG
Molecule: ribosomal RNA, 503 nt
Filed under: uncultured bacterium
Lineage: Bacteria
Description: partial 16S ribosomal RNA
Rfam family: Bacterial small subunit ribosomal RNA
Source: RNAcentral